Molecule: ribosomal RNA, 406 nt
Filed under: uncultured bacterium
Lineage: Bacteria
Description: bacterial SSU rRNA
Rfam family: Bacterial small subunit ribosomal RNA
Source: RNAcentral
UGGGGAAUAUUGCACAAUGGGCGGAAGCCUGAUGCAGCGACGCCGCGUGGGGGAUGACGGCCUUCGGGUUGUAAACCUCUUUCAGCACCGACGAAGCGGGAGUGACGGUAGGUGCAGAAGAAGCGCCGGCCAACUACGUGCCAGCAGCCGCGGUAAUACAGAGGAGCCAAGCGUUGUCCGGAUUGACUGGGCGUAAAGCGCACGCAGGCGGCACCGCGCGUGGGGUGUGAAAUCUGGCCGCUUAACGGCCAGGCGCCAUCCCAUACGGCGGAGCUGGAGUGAUGCAGAGGUCGAUGGAAUUGCCGGUGUAGUGGUGAAAUGCGUAGAGAUCGGCAGGAACACCCAGGGGGAAACCAGUCGACUGGGCAUCUACUGACGCUGAGGUGCGAGAGCGUGGGGAGCGAAC